Molecule: unclassified non-coding RNA, 141 nt
Filed under: soil metagenome
Description: partial internal transcribed spacer 1
Source: RNAcentral
CCCAGAGUCGUAGGCUUUGCCUGCUAUCUCCUACCCAUGUCUUUUGAGUACCUUACGUUUCCUCGGUGGGUUCGCCCACCGAUUGGACAAAUUUAAACCCUUUGCAGUUGAAAUCAGCGUCUGAAAAAAACUUAGUAGCUA